Molecule: long non-coding RNA, 1450 nt
Filed under: Monodelphis domestica (gray short-tailed opossum)
Lineage: Eukaryota; Metazoa; Chordata; Mammalia; Didelphimorphia; Didelphidae
Description: lncRNA (ENSMODG00000035294.2)
Source: RNAcentral
GAGGUGAAGGGAUGAUUGCUGAAGUUUCUGAGGACCCAGGAUAUGUACUUCCUGGAAAUGAAUUUAUGGAACCAGUACAAGUAAUGCUAGAGAGGAAUAAGGACCCAGUACCCAGGGGACUUGAAAACCUUAAUAUAUUCUCUGUCCUCAUAACACAGGAGAUACCAUACAUUCUCUGUAUUUUCAUACAUGCAAAAUUACUUUAUAAGAUAUAUUAGAGACUCCAGAAUCAUAGGAAUGUAUAAAACAAAUAUUUCAAUGAAAAGAACCUGAUCUUUCCAUAUAUGAGAAUAUAGGGCCAAACACUGAAGACUCUUGAGCAGGAAUGGGAAGGUGAUGAUUACCCCUGAUGACACAAUAACCCCAAUACAUCAUAAUAUGCUGACUGGGGGUGGUGGUGUUAUAAGAGGCCCUAGAAUUGUAGGGAUAGAGACAGCCCAGGGGCUCUGGCCAUCCAUCACAGUCUCCCUCUUUACCAGGCUCCCUGGAGUAAGCAGAAGCCUGCUAAUGAAUGUCUUAGAGGGGACAGACGUCAGAAAUUUAUCCAAAGGCUACCCUGAGACUCACUUUUCAGAAAAUACAUCAGGAAACAAAAGGGACAGAUGGCGGAAUCCACUCCCAAGGGAAAGAAAUUAUCUGUGCAGGUCAUUCCAGAACCAUGCCAUUACAUUUGGAGUUACGGUGGCAGAAGCCCAAAGGCGGCCCACAGAGGCACUUUCAGAUACACAUGCCUGACUGAGGCAGAAGAGUCAUGGCAACCCAAGGCAACACAGGCUGGCAAUAUUCAUUCCUAUGGAAUGCGAUGGUGGAAGAGUCAGACAUCUCUCCUCCUCGACUAGUCUGUGAUGUUCUACCAGCCAGAGGGAGAUUGCUUCUCCCCCAACAUGCAAAGAUCAUGGAUAUCUCUCACUCAACUUGUCUCUCUCUGCUUCCACAAAGACUGAAGAAGAACAAGAAUUAAGAAGCAGGAGCCCAAUUCAAUGUAGCAUUGGGGCUCAGCGUAUAGGGAACAGCUUUCCCUGGAGGGCUAUAAACACUUCAUCACCACCAAAAUUGAUUCCAGCAAGCAAUUCUGUUCAUAGAUAUCUAAGGCAAUGCACACACAAAAAGGAGUGGGCACAGUGUACCCCCCUCAACCUGGUCUGAUCUCUUCUCAUUGAUAACCAUUGAUGCCCAAGGGAUGGGAUGGAAGUAGGCCAAUAGAUAUCUAAGGCAAUGCACACACAAAAAGGAGUGGGCACAGUGUACCCCCCCUCAACCAGGUCUGAUCUCUUCUCAUUGAUAACCAGUGAUGCCCAAGGGAUAGGAUGGAAAAUGGGCCAGAGACUCAAGACUAGGAAGAAGACACACUGCACACACUCCUGUACCCAUAAAUACAAUCAUUUCCUAAAGAAUUUUUUCGUCCAUAUUCAUUCAUAAUCAUGCAGAGGAGGCAAUAGAAGGAGUUCCA